GAUGAACGCUGACAGAAUGCUUAACACAUGCAAGUCAACUUGAACUUCGGUUUGGGCGGCGGACGGGCGAGUAACGCGUAAAGAACUUGCCUCACAGAUAGGGACAACAUUUGGAAACGAAUGCUAAUACCUGAUAUUAUGAUUUUAGGGCAUCCUAGGAUUAUGAAAGCUAUAUGCGCUGUGAGAGAGCUUUGCGUCCCAUUAGCUAGUUGGAGAGGUAACGGCUCACCAAGGCGAUGAUGGGUAGCCGGCCUGAGAGGGUGAUCGGCCACAAGGGGACUGAGACACGGCCCUUACUCCUACGGGAGGCAGCAGUGGGGAAUAUUGGACAAUGGACCAAGAGUCUGAUCCAGCAAUUCUGUGUGCACGAUGAAGUUUUUCGGAAUGUAAAGUGCUUUCAGUUGGGAAGAAAAAAAUGACGGUACCAACAGAAGAAGAGACGGCUAAAUACGUG
This 454-nucleotide ribosomal RNA is filed under the name uncultured bacterium. RNAcentral's name for it is "partial 16S ribosomal RNA". It matches the Rfam family "Bacterial small subunit ribosomal RNA", at positions 28 to 507 of the family's 1533-position model. The record is from RNAcentral.